RNAcentral lists this transfer RNA (77 nucleotides) under Mycobacterium sp. NS-7484. RNAcentral's name for it is "tRNA-Leu". It matches the Rfam family "tRNA". From Rfam's summary of the family: Transfer RNA (tRNA) molecules are approximately 80 nucleotides in length. Their secondary structure includes four short double-helical elements and three loops (D, anti-codon, and T loops). Lineage: Bacteria; Bacillati; Actinomycetota; Actinomycetes; Mycobacteriales; Mycobacteriaceae. The record is from RNAcentral.
GCCCCCAUAGCCCAAUUGGCAGAGGCAGCGGACUUAAAAUCCGCGUGUUCCGGGUUCGAGUCCCGGUGGGGGCACCA